CCUACGGGAGGCAGCAGUGAGGAAUAUUGGUCAAUGGGCGCGAGCCUGAACCAGCCAAGUCGCGUGAGGGAGGACGGCCCUACGGGUUGUAAACCUCUUUUGCCGGGGAGCAACGGGCGUCACGUGUGGCGCCACCGAGUGGACCCGGAGAAAAAGCAUCGGCAAACCCCGUGCCAGCAGCCGCGGUAAAACGGCGGAUGCGAGCGUUAUCCGGAUUUAUUGGGUUUAAAGGGUGCGUAGGGGGAACGUUAAGUCAGGGGUCAAAUUGAGGGGCUCAACCCCUGCCGGCCGUGGAAACUGGCGUUCUGGAGUGGAAGAGAAGUAUGCGGAAUGCGUGGUGUAGCGGUGAAAUGCAUAGAUAUCACGCAGAACCCCGAUUGCGAAGGCAGCAUGCCGGCUUCCGACUGACGC
Molecule: ribosomal RNA, 411 nt
Filed under: uncultured bacterium
Lineage: Bacteria
Description: partial 16S ribosomal RNA
Rfam family: Bacterial small subunit ribosomal RNA
Source: RNAcentral